CCCUUAGAUGUUCUGGGCCGCACGCGCGCUACACUGAUGCAUUCAACGAGUCUAAAACCUGCUCUGAUAGGGGUGGGUAAUCUUUUGAAUGUGCAUCGUGAUUGGGAUAGAUGAUUGCAAUUUUUCAUCUUCAACGAGGAAUGCCUAGUAAACGCAAGUCAUCAGCUUGCAUUGAUUACGUCCCUGCCCUUUGUACACACCGCCCGUCGCUCCUACCGAUUGAAUGAUCCGAUGAAUAUCAUGGAUUGAGGAUGCAAGUAGGUUCGCCUAUCUUCAUCUUCGAGAAGUGGAGUAAAUCUUAUCAUUUAGAGGAAGGAGAAGUCGUAACA
Molecule: ribosomal RNA, 329 nt
Filed under: uncultured eukaryote
Lineage: Eukaryota
Description: partial 18S ribosomal RNA
Rfam family: Eukaryotic small subunit ribosomal RNA
Source: RNAcentral